Molecule: ribosomal RNA, 614 nt
Filed under: uncultured bacterium
Lineage: Bacteria
Description: bacterial SSU rRNA
Rfam family: Bacterial small subunit ribosomal RNA
Source: RNAcentral
AGAGUUUGAUCAUGGCUCAGAUUGAACGCUGGCGGCAUGCUUAAUACAUGCAAGUCGAACGGUAACAUGCCCUUCGGGGUGAUGACGAGUGGCGGACGGGUGAGUAAUGCAUAGGAAUCUACCCAGUAGACGGGGAACAACUUGGGGAAACUCAAGCUAAUACCGCGUAAUCCUUACGGGGGAUAGCGGGGGACUUUUUCGGAAGCCUCGCGAUAUUGGAUGAGCCUAUGUCGGAUUAGCUAGUUGGUGGGGUAAAAGCUUACCAAGGCGACGAUCCGUAGCUGGUCUGAGAGGACGAUCAGCCACACUGGGACUGAGACACGGCCCAGACUCCUACGGGAGGCAGCAGUAGGGAAUAUUGGACAAUGGGCGAAAGCCUGAUCCAGCAAUGCCGCGUGUGUGAAGAAGGCCUGCGGGUUGUAAAGCACUUUCAGUUGGGAAGAAAAGCAUUGGGUUAAUACCCUGAUGUAUUGACGUUACCAACAGAAGAAGCACCGGCUAACUCUGUGCCAGCAGCCGCGGUAAUACAGAGGGUGCGAGCGUUAAUCGGAAUUACUGGGCGUAAAGCGUACGUAGGCGGUUGAGUCAGUCGGAUGUGAAAGCCCAAGGCUUAA